Molecule: long non-coding RNA, 776 nt
Organism: Canis lupus familiaris (dog)
Lineage: Eukaryota; Metazoa; Chordata; Mammalia; Carnivora; Canidae
Exons: 3
Source: RefSeq, a predicted model, not a curated record
AGUUAAGUGAAGCAUCCUUUUUAUUACUUUGGAAAGUGGAGGCACAGAAAAGUGAUGAAGUGACUUGCCCAAGGUCAUAAAACUACUCAUUCUAGAAUCCAUUCCUGUUGGAGAAGGAAUUAGAAACCGUAGGUUUCCAAGACUCCUCCUCUUCCUUCUGCCUUAGAGAGAUGAAAAGAAAUUGGCUUCUCCUUGUAUGCAUUUUACCUUUGAUUAUUCCUUUUUAUUCUCUACCCACUGUUAGUUAUUAGGGUGAUAUUUUGAUACUGUGUUAUUACGGACCCAGCAAUGCCCAAACCCCAGCAUGCCUGCCACUUCCCUCUCCUCUUCCCACCAGCCUCAGAGGAAGUUAAGCACACUACAUAAUUAUACAUUGUGAAACAAAAUGUCUCUUUAUUAAUGGCCCAGGCACCCAUGCCCCAAAGCAGAGCUCUCUGGUCCAAGAGGAAGUGAGGCCUUCUUCUUGGGAUUUUCCUGCCCUCUGACCACAUGCAAAGAGGAGGAAGUCUAAGAAAUAGAGGAACUCUAUGGCCAGGGACUGGCUCACACAAUUAUGGAGGCUGAGAAGUCCAGACCCAAGAGAACCGAUGGUAGAGUUCCCAUGCAAGGCCAAGUCUGAACGCAGGGGAAGACGAACACUCCAGCUCCAAGAUAAAGCAAAGCCAUCAGCUGAGAAGGAAGUGAUGGAAUUCAGAAGAAUAGGAGGUAAAGUCAGCAAGAAGAGUGGGGAAAUGAACACCCGAGGAAAUGUAAUAAGAUAGCAUCCUUGAGGUUAG